Molecule: ribosomal RNA, 912 nt
Filed under: Triticum aestivum (bread wheat)
Lineage: Eukaryota; Viridiplantae; Streptophyta; Magnoliopsida; Poales; Poaceae
Description: partial small subunit ribosomal RNA
Source: RNAcentral
AUGAACAAAGCAGAGAAAACAACACGCACAGCAAUCCACAGUUCUAACAUCCGAAUAAGGCGUGGGCUCGGUUUAUUUAUUCUUGCACGCCGGUGGGUGCGUGGGGUCAGUCGGAUCAGGCGACCGAGGGGAGGAUCCACACGGGCUCCACCUCCACGGAGUGCCCGCCCGCGAUGGCCACCACCGCCGUCUCCCGGUCCCCCAGCGAGUACACGCCGAUGGCGUGCGGCACCAUCAGCUCCACGUCCCGCCGCGCGAAGUAGACGCAGUUCUCCCGGACCCCCGCCGUCGCCGGCGCCGCCGCCGACGCCACCGACCCCAGGAACACCGCCCUCCCGGGGAGCUCCGUCACCGGCUCCCACUUGCACCCCUCCGGCCGGAACCGGCUCACCUCCACCUCCACGUCCGCCGAGUCCCGCACCACGCUGUACAGCUUCUUCACCAGCAGGAGCUCCCCGCCGGACUCCAGCAGGUACCGCACCCGCCGCUCCAGCCGGUUCGGAGAGUUGGCGUCCUUCCCGCGCAGCUCCGACACGGCCGCCACGCGCGCGCGGAGGUCCACCCGGUACGCCAGGACCGUGCCGUCGUCGCCCAGCACGCACAGCCGCCCCCGCCAGAACGCCACGUCCCGGAACCCUCCGUGCGGCCCCCCCGCGGCGAUCGUGGUCCAGGCGCCGCCGGACACGUCCGGCUGGAGCAGCGCCACCGUGCCCGCGCGGCCCAGCACGGCGGCCACCCAGCCGAGCGAGGUGGGCGGCGCGGACAGCACGAUCUUGGCCACCGGGGACACGGGGGACCGUGGCAUGGACACGGAUUGGCCGGAGAAGAGGUUGCGGAGCUCGAUCGCCCGCUCCUCGUCGAAGGCCAUCGCGAGCCAGCCGCCGAUCUGGCCGCAGCACCGGCCGGAGCUGA